This 441-nucleotide ribosomal RNA is filed under the name uncultured bacterium. RNAcentral describes it as "bacterial SSU rRNA". It matches the Rfam family "Bacterial small subunit ribosomal RNA", at positions 338 to 795 of the family's 1533-position model. The record is from RNAcentral.
CCUANGGGCGGCAGCAGUAGGGAAUUUUGGACAAUGGGCGAAAGCCUGAUCCAGCAACGCCGCGUGCGCGAUGAAGGCCUUCGGGUUGUAAAGCGCUUUUAGAGGAGAUGAGAAAGGACAGUAUCCUCUGAAUAAGCCUCGGCGAACUACGUGCCAGCAGCCGCGGUAAAACGUAGGAGGCUAGCGUUAUCCGGAUUUAUUGGGCGUAAAGCGUGUGCAGGCGGUUUGGUAAGUUGGAUGUGAAAGCUCCUGGCUUAACUGGGAGAGGUCGUUCAAAACUGCCAGACUAGAGAAUGGGAGAGGGAGAUGGAAUUCCGGGUGUAGUGGUGAAAUGCGUAGAUAUCCGGAGGAACACCAGUGGCGAAAGCGGUCUCCUAGACCAUUUCUGACGCUUAAACACGAAAGCUAGGGUAGCAAACGGGAUUAGAUACCCUGNUANUC